RNAcentral lists this ribosomal RNA (390 nucleotides) under uncultured bacterium. RNAcentral's name for it is "bacterial SSU rRNA". It matches the Rfam family "Bacterial small subunit ribosomal RNA", at positions 29 to 416 of the family's 1533-position model. The record is from RNAcentral.
AUUGAACGCUGGCGGAAUGCUUUACACAUGCAAGUCGAACGGCAGCACGGGAGCUUGCUCCUGGUGGCGAGUGGCGAACGGGUGAGUAAUGCGUCGGAACGUACCGAGUAAUGGGGGAUAACGCAGCGAAAGCUGUGCUAAUACCGCAUACGCCCCUGAGGGGGAAAGUGGGGGAUCGCAAGACCUCACGUUAUUCGAGCGGCCGACGUCUGAUUAGCUAGUUGGUGGGGUAAAGGCCUACCAAGGCGACGAUCAGUAGCGGGUCUGAGAGGAUGAUCCGCCACACUGGAACUGAGACACGGUCCAGACUCCUACGGGAGGCAGCAGUGGGGAAUUUUGGACAAUGGGGGGCAACCCUGAUCCAGCCAUGCCGCGUGAGUGAAGAAGGCC